Molecule: long non-coding RNA, 1371 nt
Filed under: Manacus vitellinus (golden-collared manakin)
Lineage: Eukaryota; Metazoa; Chordata; Aves; Passeriformes; Pipridae
Description: lncRNA (ENSMVIG00005004020.1)
Source: RNAcentral
UUCUAUUAUUACUUCAUUCUCAGAAACCCAGAAGGCCCCAAACAAGGUCAGGAUCCCUCCUGCACUGCACUGUGCAAGCCCCUGCUGAGAAAGAGUCCCAGUUCUUAUAGCAUUUAAAUAGAUACAUCAAUCAAACAGAGAGCAAUAAAAUGGCUCGCAGCCAAAUUAGAUGAGCAGAACAUUUAAAUUCCUGGUGCUCCAAGUCUCCUGCCCAGUGAACGUGGUUCCAGCCCUGUCUGCAGAGGGCACCUCUCUGGUGCUGAGUGUUUUGUGGCUCCUCCAGAGCCAGCUCUUCCCCGGAGCUGACGCACAGGCAGGGACAGGCAGCAGAGGGGCAACAACUGGGAGCAAUCUCGGCGCAAUUCCAGGGGCUGGGAGCGACACUGCGGCAGUCAGGGAGAGCUGGAGCGGGAUGUGUCACCCUGGAGUGACAGGGACGGUAACGAGGGAGUUAAGGAACUCAGAAAAACUGGAUAAGGACUUGGAAUAGAGACUACAAAUCCUUUGAACUGUGAAGAACCAGACCCGAAGCUUAAGUGAAGCUAAUGGCAUGAUCCAAAGACUAUUGAAAGCAAUGUGGACCUUUCUCCUGCUGGAUAUUGAGAGAUUUUGCAUCAGCAAGAUGAGAAGCAGUCAAACAUUCCGAUUAAAAAAAUAAUCUGGAGAGGAGACAGCAGAGGAGGGAACAGAAAUAACAGCCAGCAGAGCCUGUUACUUUCCAGAUUCCUUACAAGUUUGGUCUGAGACAGAAGAAUUGCUCCUUCCCAUUUGGGCUUCUUGCCAAAGGAGCUUUCCAGAGAUAUUUGAGAUAAGAGGCUCAGGCCUGGAUCCCAGGCCACCUGUCCAGCUCUGGGGUGUGUCACUGCUAACGAGGCUCAACAGUCACUGACACAAUGGGCAAGGAUGGAGGGAGCCUGAGCAACAUUCCUUGGUGCUUCUGCCUCCCCUCCUCUAACCUGGGAACUCUGCUGCUGGGGAUCCAGUCUUCCAAAACUGACACUUAAAAAUGUCCUUUAUGUUUAGAAAUUAGCAGAUACCUGGCCUGGAAUUCAAACUUGAAUUCCCAUUACCUUGUGUCUUUCGAGGACACAAGUGGAAGAAAGGCACAUGCUGGGAGAUACAAGAUUCUGGUCUGUUCUUUUCUCCUAUUUAAAACCCCUGAUUAAAUGCCAUGUCUUUGACCCACACGAGUUCAGUCGUUCUGCUGCCCUGAAAAUACACCUGUGGGCCAGAUUUUUGGCAAUUUUGGAACAGAAACAGAAGCUCAUGUGAAGACAGAACCAACCCUGUGAGCUCCGUUGGAGACACCAGCACUGACAGAGGGAAGGUCCAGCUGUGACCACCAAGUUUGAAGGCAGCAUCAAGGAAAUC